CACGACCCACUCUGUUUUGCCUAUAGAAAUUUUCACCCAAAAAAAUUCCCGCUUUUUGGCUUAAUCGAUUGCUACCAAAACCAAAUUAAUUCAAUUUGCCUACCCUCAAAAUUUCUUGUGGAUCCCAUGGUUGCAAUCCCAAUCUCUUCAUUUGCCACAGUAUUGAUUUUUGGUCAAUAAAUUCUUGCCUAAUUUACGACGUGGAGAUUGUGUUCUUCAAGCAGUCUUAAAGGUAUGCCUAUCAGGUUUGCUUUAAUCUUUGAUUGAUUUUCCAGCUUUGUUUAAUUAGAUCUGGUGCUUCGAUUGAUUUUUCUAAAAUUCGAAGAAUUUGUUAAAUAUGAACCAUUGGAUUUAUAUGACACUUUUAAUCUGUAAUUAAUUACUCAAAUAUGUCUUUUCUUAAACAGAAAUUUUUUGUUUUUAAUGAUGCUUGAUUAGUAUAGUUUUAAUCAUUUUCUUUUGUUUCCCCAUUUUGAACCGAAUGUAGUAGAUGGGAUUGUGAAGUUUUCAUGUAAUUUUAGUUGACUUCUUUGAAGGGGGAAAAAAAAAAGUAGAAUUAACUACAAAGAAAUUCUGUUUUAUUGAAAUGGGCUUGAUCAAUUGUGACAUUAUGUUUAGGGGAGUGAAAUUGGAAUUGGGAUUGUGAAAGAUUUAUUUUAAUAUUUGUUCUAAUUUUAAUUUCAAGGUGAUGAAUUCCAUUCCAUGUUCUGCUUGUAAUUCAUUUCUUUGUAAUUUGACAAGUAGUAUGCUAUGAGAUUGUCGUUUUGGCUUCUAUGAAGGAUGAGCACCCUUGAUAACUUCCGUGUAUCACGUCAAGAGGACGAGGCUCCUAACGGGGGAGGAAAGGAGAGGGUAAGCAGGCUAUUUUCACUGUGGAAGUUGUAGGUCUCUUUGCCCUUUCCAUAUUAGUAGCAAAAUUUCUCCUACCUUUUAGUAGCUUGCGUUGUCUUCCACACUGCUUUCUUAAGUUAGUUGUUAGACUAAGUUCACCGGCCAAGUCAUAAUUUUAGAUUCAUUUGUAGCUGACUUUAUUUCUGUCACCUUAAAUCUUCAACUUGUCCUAUGAACAAAAACUGUAAUCAUACUGGUAAGUAUGAAUCAAAGAAAAUAUUAAGUAUUUUCAUGUCAAUAUAUACAUGCUAUGUAUAAUUAUAAUCCUGUUGAUUUCUGAUAACUGCG
RNAcentral lists this long non-coding RNA (1179 nucleotides) under Olea europaea subsp. europaea. The record is from RNAcentral. Lineage: Eukaryota; Viridiplantae; Streptophyta; Magnoliopsida; Lamiales; Oleaceae.